AGGGUCUUGUGCACAUCCCUGAAGAGAGGCAGUGGCCAUGUCAUCCAGACCACUGGCAAUGGAUUCCCCACAGAAAUGAGAGUUUUUUUUUAACCAAAGGCCGUAUGCACCCUGGGUGUGGGCCUGACCCAUACAUCCAACAUACCUGUGUAUCUUAGUUUCUAGGGCUACCAUGAUAUAGCACCAUGAACUGAAUAUGAGAUCACAGAAAUUUAUUCUCUUACACUUCUGGAGCUAGAAGUCCAAAACCAAGGUGUUGCAGAGCCACGCUCCCUCCAAAGCCUAUAGGGGAAGGAUCCUUGUUUCUUCCAGCUUCUGGGAGCCCCAGGAGUUCCUUCCCUUGUGGCCACAUAACUCCAAUCUCUGCCUCCAUUCCCAAUGUAGCCAUCUUCCUAGGUCAUCUUUGUCUCCAUCAGUUCCUGGUCCAAAGUUCUCAAGUCUCUGACGUGGCUUCUGGUAGUUUGAGGGUAUCGGAGUGUUUAUGUGUAUAUGAAUGUGUAAUUGGAGAGAUGGGGGAAUGAAGAGGAAAGAACUGCCAAAAAGCAUAAACGCUGUACCAGAGACAGAGAGAGAGAGAGAGAGAGAGAGAAUAAAGAUAUGAGCACAGAGGCCUCCUUGAGUUUGCAGCAUCUGGGAGGCUCUGCUCAGUAAGUUCAGCUGUGUCUCUGUGUCCAAAUUCCCCUCUUCUUUCGAGGACACCAGUCACAUUGAAUUAGGGCUCUCCCACCCUAUCCCAGGAUGACUUACUUUUUUUUUUCAUUGUUGCCAUUACCUUUAUUUAUUUAUUUUUUUUUUUAUUAUCUUAACCAGUUUACAUCUGCAAAGACCCUAUUUCCAAAUAAUGUAGAUGGCAGAUGAGACUUGAGCAUAUAUUUUGUGGGGGGACAUAGUCUAACCCAUAACACCAGGUCUCCACCUACAUUAAAGUGUAUCUGUGAGGAUGUUUAGUUGUACAUGCAUCCGGGCUUGCCAUCACAGAGGUCCGUGUGGUGGCCCUGUGGAGCACACCUCCAUGCCCUGUCUGUGUGGACCUGUGCAUUGGGUUUAUAUCAAACAUGGAGGUUUCUUUAGUACGUGUCUGGUUCGCUCCCCGCCGUGUUCUAAGACUCCUCACCUGCCUACAGGGUGCUGUGCUCAUACGCAAAACCAAGGGUUUUCAAUGACUUUCCACAAGUAAAGAAGUUAUUUUCUGACACAUUUCUUCCUCCAAUUAUAUAUUUACCUCCCCCAGUGGCUUACUCAGGAGCAAAGACAAAAGGCUCAGGACUCAGGCUGACUCAGGACAUGCGCACACACACACACACACACAUACACACUUACUUUCACAAGGACCCCACAGUUCUUCUUGAGUGAGAUAAAUAUAUGCAAAAUGCCUCACAGCACCGCAACCACUAGAGUCUUCUCCUCUAGAACUGCAUGUACAUUUAAAUGCACAAACAACAUCUGAAAAUAUUCUUUGCAGAUAAAAAUCCCAAUAAUAACUCAUCCCCCCACCCCUCCAAGAUUACUCUAAGGUUGCCACUGAUUUCCCCACUGGCAAGAGGGAGCAAAUAGGAGGCAGGAAUAGUAUAGUCUUCUUGCCUGUCCUGAUCCCAACUCCUCCAAGAAAUGGGGUUUCACAGACUGAGUCUGCGGACCCAGAAUCAUUGGGGCAAUCAUUCUGUCUGACCUAGAAGUAACUGGACAGGAAUCUGAAAAGCAACAGAUCCCCUCUGCCUCUUUUUGGUGAAAUAUGGUUUAUCAAAGUGGGCAGAAAGGUUGAGGCCAUAUAUCAACCUUCCCAUUUUACAGAUGGGGAGACUGAGGCCAUGGAAGUCAUUCAGCAUUGCCUUCACUCACAGAUCCAGUGUCUCCUGCCUCCUGGUCCAGUAUUCUUUUCCCAUCCCCUCCUGUCUCACCUCCUGCCCCCAUCUUUUUAGACUUUGGGAACAGCAGUGGUGAAGAGGGAGGAUAAAGGGAAGAUUAUUCCAUGUCCAAGGAAGGUUAGCAGGAGAGAGCCACAGAAGAGCAUCUUGUAAGGUACUGAAAUCCAGCUGAGGCUUCCUCCAUAACCCAGACUUCUCCCCCAAAAAGUUCCAUGACAUCUGCUGGCUGCCUGGCCUUCGCGGAUCUAUUUAACCCAGAGACACUGUGAUCGCUCAUGUGCUUUGAUCCUGCAGGCGCCGGCAGCUUUUUGUUCUAUUAUUCACUGCAGGGUGGAUGCUGAGUUGUCUCUCCUUAUUACAGGCAGUGGUUGGGCUUCCCACCGCCUCCCCAAGCCAGAGGGAAUGUGUGGAGGCUACGGAAAGGAAUAUCCUUGAACGGAAUGCAUGACUUCUGCAAGAGUCAUAGCUUCAUUUCUGCACUUGCUCUCCUCUCACCAAUAAUCCAGGCACAGAAACCCUCCCCCGCCCUCCUCCCUCGGGGGCACAGGAUAAUGUUGAUGGAUGGGAUGGAGUCUGGAGCUGAGAGGGCAUGGAAAAGAGGGGAGCCCUCCUUAGCAGACCGUCUUGGGGCACACAGGUGGAAUGAUCGAGUAGCCAACAUGCACUUCAGCAAGGGCAGAGUGAUGUUUUUCAUGACUAAUCUUCAAACCCCGGACGAGAGGAAACACAUUCCAAAGCGACUGCUUGAGACAAGAACAGGGUGGGACGCAAAAAGUUAACUGAGAAUCAGGAGAUAGGAGAAGACUCAGCCACACCCAGCCAGUGAAGAUGAAUUUAAAGAGAACUCUAUGUAGUGCGGCUCCCUGGGUGGAACAGAACAUA
Molecule: long non-coding RNA, 2747 nt
Filed under: Homo sapiens (human)
Lineage: Eukaryota; Metazoa; Chordata; Mammalia; Primates; Hominidae
Description: HSALNT0020852
Source: RNAcentral